This 205-nucleotide long non-coding RNA is filed under the name Prunus persica (peach). RNAcentral's name for it is "long non-coding RNA (PPER_LNC004433)". Lineage: Eukaryota; Viridiplantae; Streptophyta; Magnoliopsida; Rosales; Rosaceae. The record is from RNAcentral.
UGGUUUCUCACCUACUUUUCAUGCUCUAGCUGCAUGUUGGGUAGGAUUCGAUCAAUUGCUAGCGUAGGUAACUCGAUUUAUGAAUUGAAAUUCGACCAAUUUUGGGAUCGAGAUUCCGGCCACUUCAAGUCAAUUUUUGGGGUAGGUCCAGGAACAAAAGUGGUUCCAAAUAGGGUGUUAUACCUAGGGUAGGAGUCUUGAGCCG